Molecule: ribosomal RNA, 252 nt
Filed under: uncultured bacterium
Lineage: Bacteria
Description: partial 16S ribosomal RNA
Rfam family: Bacterial small subunit ribosomal RNA
Source: RNAcentral
UACAGAGGUGCCGAGCGUUAGGCGGAAUCACUGGGCUUAAAGCGUGUGUAGGCGGAUCGUUAAGUACCUUGUGAAAUCCCACGGCUCAACCGUGGAACGGCUGGGUAUACUGGCGAUCUUGAGCGAUCUAGGGGCAGAUGGAACAAGUGGUGGAGCGGUGAAAUGCGUAGAUAUCACUUGGAACGCCAAAGGUGAAGACAGUCUGCUGGGGAUCUGCUGACGCUGAGACACGAAAGCCAGGGGAGCGAACGG